This 467-nucleotide ribosomal RNA is filed under the name uncultured bacterium. RNAcentral describes it as "partial 16S ribosomal RNA". It matches the Rfam family "Bacterial small subunit ribosomal RNA", at positions 28 to 507 of the family's 1533-position model. The record is from RNAcentral.
GACGAACGCUGGCGGCGUGCUUAACACAUGCAAGUCGAACGGAAAGGCCCUGCUUUUGUGGGUGCUCGAGUGGCGAACGGGGGAGGAACACGUGAGUAACCUGCCCUUGACUUUGGGAUAACUUCAGGAAACUGGGGCUACUACCGGAUAGGAGCUCCUGCUGCAUGGUGGGGGUUGGAAAGUUUCCGCGGUUGGGGAUGGACUCGCGGCGUAUCAGCUUGUUGGUGGGGUAGUGGCUUACCAAGGCUUUGACGGGUAGCCGGCCUGAGAGGGUGACCGGCGACAUUGGGCCUACGGUACGGCCCAGACUCCUACGGGCGGCAGAGGGGGGGAACAUGGCACAGUGGGCGGGCGCCUGAUACGGCGGCGCCGCGUGCGGGAUACCGGCCUUCGAGUUGUGAACCGCUUUCGCCUGUGCCGAAGCGUGAGUGACGGUACUGGGUAAAGAAGCACCGGCUAACUACGUG